CAGUGUUCCCAUGUCUCCCAGUGUCCCAAUGUCUCUCAAUGUCCCCUAGUGACAUGGGGACACUGGGAGACAUGGGGACACA
This 82-nucleotide microRNA precursor is filed under the name Pelobates cultripes (western spadefoot toad). The record is from RNAcentral. Lineage: Eukaryota; Metazoa; Chordata; Amphibia; Anura; Pelobatidae.